GACUACCCGCUGAAUUUAAGCAUAUUAAUAGGCGGAGGAAAAGAAACUAACAAGGAUUCCCCAAGUAGCGGCGAGCGAACAGGGAAGAGCCCAGCACGGCAAUCCCGCGCGGCAACGCGCAGGGAGAUGUCGUGUGUGGGAGGUUCCGCUUUACCGGGGGUCGGCUGCCGAGUCCAAGUCUCCCUUGAACGGGGCCACAGCCCGCAGAGGGUGCCAGGCCCGUAGAGACCGGUGCCGCUCCCGAGAGGAGCUCUCCUCAGAGUCGUGUUCCUUGAGAGUGGAGCACCAAGUGGGUGGUAAACUCCAUCUAAGGCUAAAUACGACCACGAGACCGAUAGCGAACAAGUACCGUGAGGGAAAGUUGAAAAGAACUUGGAAGAGAGAGUUCAACAGUACGUGAAAUCCGUUCAGGGGUAAACGGGAGAGAUCCGAAAAGUCGAAAGGGGGUGACUCAGCCUCGUCCGCGCUCGGCGCCCAAGUCGGCCGUCUUGGGAUGCUUCCGGCCGCCGGUCGCGCCGCAAGGCGCGCGCCGUGUCCGUUUCGGAGGCACCCGGGUCGCGGGUUUCAUGUCGUUUGCGGCGAGGUGCAUUUCUCCCCCCGAGUAGGACGUCGCGACCCGUUGGGCACCGGUCUACGGCCCGGGAAGAGUCCCGAGGCGUCCUCCGAGCUCUUUGGCUCGGGUUCAAGGGCGCCCGGAUCCCGGUUCUCGCCCGGCCGGAGCUCGACGGUAUGGUGCGCGGAGAAGGCCCGCUAUUCGUAGCGAGCGUCCUGGCCCGGUGGGCAAGCUCUUCGGGAGGCAUUUCGCGGUGCCGUGGCGAACGCCACGUCCCCGGCCCCCGUCGGCUGUUGGCCCCCGGAGUCCUCGGACGGUAGCCAUCUCCCGUCGGCGGCAGCUUGAGCUUCGGAUGCUUUCCCGAACCGUCUUGAAACACGGACCAAGGAGUCUAACAUGUGCGCGAGUCACUGGGCUUUCUAAACCCAGAGGCGCAGUGAAAGCGGCAGGCGCGUCCGAUGCGGAUUGGUUCUUCCUUUCCCUUCGCGGCGCGCCGUUUUUAGGGAGGAUGGCUGAUAAAUUCAGCCCGCACUCCCGGGGCGCAUCGGCUUCGGCCGCAGGCGCACCCAGAGCGUACACGUUGGGACCCGAAAGAUGGUGAACUAUGCCUGGUCAGGACGAAGUCAGGGGAAACCCUGAUGGAGGUCCGCAGCGAUUCUGACGUGCAAAUCGAUCGUCAGAGCUGGGUAUAGGGGCGAAAGACUAAUCGA
Molecule: ribosomal RNA, 1263 nt
Filed under: Parcoblatta lata
Lineage: Eukaryota; Metazoa; Arthropoda; Insecta; Blattodea; Blattellidae
Description: eukaryotic LSU rRNA
Rfam family: Eukaryotic large subunit ribosomal RNA
Source: RNAcentral